UAUGAGAUAGAUAGAUAGAUAGAUAGGAGAUAGAGAGAUAUGAGAUAGAUAGCUAGAUAGAUAGAGAGAUAUGAGAUAUAAGAAGGUAGAUAGAGAGCUAGAUAGAUAGAUCCAAUUUUGAUACAGAAACUGCAAAAAUAUUGUUAUAAGUGACUAUGACAAACAUUUAUAAUGAGCUAUUCUGACAGGGACUUAAAGCACAGGGAAAGUUGUGUGGCCGGGGUGACUCCCUGGGGAGUCGGUGGCUGCCAUAUAGGCACCCAACCUUGACACACAACAAACACUGGUGUCAAUUUCGUAGGACUUCAGAGUAGAUACCCAGAGCUGCAAGGCUAUGGUGCACUUCUAACCACUGAGCCAUCAUGCUACCCCCUGAUAACAGUUAAUAGGCCACAAUUACCAGCCACUGGGGGGGGGGGGGGGGUUGUAUCUCUCUCCCCAUAGAGAGGAGGAGUUAGAACAGUUUAGAGACAGUGUGUGUAUAGCAGUGUGUGCAGAAAGACACAAGAUUCAGUGUAGAGACAGUGGAUGUCUAGACAUUGAUGAGUGCACAUGUAGCUAAACACAGCUCCACAAGAAACACAAAGUUGAGAAAAGCGAAAAUAUAUACUUGAAAGGCAUUCCAGUGUUGAAAGGAGGUGCGAGUAGAUGCCCUGUGGAGAUCAACUGCUCAGCCAGAAGCUUCUAGACUCCAUAGCAGACUUGCACUUCACAAUUCCUAACCAUCAAGGACACCCCAAACCAUCAUCAGGCAGUAGAACUCCAAGACCAGGGUGUGCCCCGAAGGGAAGAAAGGUGCACCCUUCCAGUCACUGCACACCUCAGGGUAGCAUCAGAGCGUGUAACAACUACAACCACCAUUCUUGCUACUAUCACUUCAAUCCUCUCCACUGCUCUCCCCGCUUGCUGCACACUUAUUUGAGAAUCUGCACCAAAAAAAAAUAAAAAAAAUUCUAGGAUUAAAUACUGACCCUCUCAAAUAAAGUGGCAACCCUAUGGAAGAUGCAUCAUCAUACAAGCAGAGAUGACCCAAACAGCAGCAAUGAGGGAAUGGUGAGAAAUUCUAAAGGUUGGUAUAUUGAGAAGUUUAUUAUUUUGACAUCUAGGGCAGAAUAAAAUAUUAUUCUAAUCCCAGAAUACCAUACAGCCCCCUCAGAAUAAAAUCAGUUUGUCAAGUUUUAUACAAUAAAGUUUGGCCAUAUAACAAUACAGCACUAUAGAGCUCCAUAUUUUUUCAUAACAGGUUGCUAUUCCCUGUUUUACCUGUGGGAGUGCUGUGGGCAAAAUGGACACAAUCGUCAUCAGUGAUUACCUGAUAAGGAAAUACAGAGUAUUUGACACCUUACUAGAGCAGGACUGUUACUCAUCUGAGACCUUGUUUCUCAGCUAUGUGAUGCUGCCAGCACUAUGGAGGAAAUCUAUGCCAAGAAGAAAGCACCUGUGUUGAUGUAAA
Long non-coding RNA from Bufo bufo (common toad), 1453 nucleotides. RefSeq lists it as uncharacterized. The record is from RefSeq and is a predicted model, not a curated record. Lineage: Eukaryota; Metazoa; Chordata; Amphibia; Anura; Bufonidae. The transcript has 3 exons.